Molecule: ribosomal RNA, 273 nt
Filed under: uncultured prokaryote
Description: partial 16S ribosomal RNA
Rfam family: Bacterial small subunit ribosomal RNA
Source: RNAcentral
UACGAAGGGGGCUAGCGUUGUUCGGAAUUACUGGGCGUAAAGCGCACGUAGGCUGACAUUUAAGUCAGGGGUGAAAUCCCGAGGCUCAACCUCGGAACUGCCCUUGAUACUGGGUGUCUCGAGUCCGGAAGAGGUUAGUGGAAUUCCCAGUGUAGAGGUGAAAUUCGUAGAUAUUGGGAAGAACACCAGUGGCGAAGGCGGCUAACUGGUCCGGUACUGACGCUGAGGUGCGAAAGCGUGGGGAGCAAACAGGAUUAGAAACCCUAGUAGUCC